GUAAGACCCGGUUAAUUAAUGGCUAAUUAACCCAUAAAUGAGAAUUUAUUCUAGAAAGCCAAAAAUAUUAUUUUUAUGGCUAAAUGUGAUAGAGGAAAUUGAGACGAGAAUUUCGGUACCAAUUUUAUAGAAAUCGGACCAAGAUUGGAGAAUGGACUGACUAUGCUUCUGUGCAUUCUCUGUAUGUGUGUUAUGUGCUGUUAGUAUAUCUACUUGAUAUAGUUGGCAUAAACGUUCAUGAUCAUGCAUUUGGGACUUUAAAGUACUAAACUUCCGAUAUUGAGACUGAUCAACUUAAUAUCGAUUGUUUGGUGUGUAUAGGAAUCAGAUGGCGCCUCGUGGACGCGGUAGAGGCCGUGGGAGAGGUCGUACUAAUGCUCGUGCGCCGGACACUAACCCUAAUGACCCGUUGAACUUUAUGACUGCGCUGGAGAAUAUGGCUGCUGCUAUGCAAGCCACUGCUGAGGCUCUUGGUCAACAGAUGAACAACCAUGGUAAUGACGGAGGUGGAGUUCAAGGCCCGAUGACNN
RNAcentral lists this long non-coding RNA (530 nucleotides) under Arachis ipaensis. Its description in RNAcentral is "long non-coding RNA (AIPA_LNC001786)". Lineage: Eukaryota; Viridiplantae; Streptophyta; Magnoliopsida; Fabales; Fabaceae. The record is from RNAcentral.